RNA transcript from Brassica rapa (field mustard), 6108 nucleotides. It is a transcript of the gene named cysteine-rich and transmembrane domain-containing protein WIH2, with no coding region annotated. Lineage: Eukaryota; Viridiplantae; Streptophyta; Magnoliopsida; Brassicales; Brassicaceae. The record is from RefSeq and is a predicted model, not a curated record.
CAAAUUGGCGAAAUUAAAAAAAAGGUAUUUUUUUUGCAGUAUGUAUUUUAAUUAUAUUUUUGUUGCAGUAUGUAUUUUAGUUAUAUUCUUGUAAAUGUGAAACCUACUGAAUACUGUUGGGGAAAUUAAGAAGAUAAAGUCUUUUUCUUGCAGUUUGUAUUUUAUUUCUAUUUUUGUAAAAAUGUGAAAACCACUGAUAACCAAAUUGGCGAAAUUAAAAAGGUAUUUUUCUUGCAGUAUGUAUUUUAGUUAUAUUUUUGUUGCAGUAUGUAUUUUAAUUAUAUUUUUGUAAAUGUGAAACCUACUGAAUACUGGUAACCAAAUUGGGGAAAUUAAGAAGAUAAAGUCUUUUUCUUGCAGUAUGUAUUUUAUUUCUAUUUUUGUAAAAAUGUGAAAACUACUGAUAACCAAAUCUACGAGAAUAAUUGCAAAAAAAACAGAGGAUAGUUACAAGACAGAGGAUAUUUUUCCUACGCGUUACUGUGUUUCUUUUUGCGGUAAAUCUCUCAAGUUAUGAAGUAAUCUUACUGUCAUUCACUGACCAUAACGUUUUUAAUUAUUGAUUCAUAGUAAUGAUGUACACUAAAAGUUUAGAUAACGGCGUUGUCCAAUCAAACAUUGGUUGUUAAACUUGUCCAUCCAAUCAACCCUUACAUAAUUCGAUUUGGUGGUUACUUUUGACUGAUUGCUUCAAACAUCUCACAUGUUUAGGUUAGAAAGAUUGGUACAGAUACUUAAUGCAGAGCUACCAAAGUGAAGUAAGUUUCUUUGCAUAACUGCUAAUGGCUCUGCCAUAACCACAAUCACUUUGAUUUUCUGCAUUGAGUAAAGUGUUCCAUAGGGGAGCAAAAUAAGCAUUUUCACAUUGUUUUUGAGUUAUUAAAAGUUUUGAAUUUCUUUUUUGGGGUCAAACCUGACUAACAAAAGAUGACAAGAACUUCUGCUUCUCUCUGUCACAUACCAUAAGAAGAUAAUCCAGCUUCAUACUAGAAGAUUCUUCUCCAUUGACUAUGUUACCAACUUCAGAACCUACUAAGCUUGAAUCUGAAGUUGGAGCUUUACUCGUGACAUCAAGCUGCGUUUCUUGAUAAAACAACAAACAUAUCAGCUACAUGUCAGACUCCUUGUAAAAGGUCUUAUAGUCUUUGUCUCUAUCUAUUACCAGUUAGAACUGAUGUAUUUUCAAUCUCUGAUAAUUACACAGCUCCACUAUCUCCAGCUUCUCCAUAAGUUGUAGUUUCUUCGAAUGAGAAUCACGGGUUCCAUCAAAAUCUCUAACUUUCGUUUAUCUCGAGUGAACGUGGCUCGAGCUCUGAGACAUUCACUCUCCCUCUUAUGUAGAAUUUACAGAGGAGAGAAAUGGCUAUGGCGAGCGAGGAAUGAGCUUUAUCAGUGAUUUCAAUAACGUCUUUCUGUUCUCCGGUUUAAGAGAUGAACUACAUGUCGUUUUACCUUUUUCUCGAACGUCAAACACUGAUCUUUUUUCUCGCAUAGACUACAUCAAUUCCCUUUAGAAAUAGAACAGAGCCUGUGGAAUUUGGUUAAUGAGCCUAACUAAACUCGGCCCAUAAUGAGAUGUUAAAAAAGUGGGCAAAACUGUAAUUUAGUAAGGAUAGACACGUGAAUAAGGCGACAAAAGCUUAAAAGAGGGGGUUGGGUUGGGUUGGGUUGGUUUAUACGUUCUAGUGUUCUACGACCCGCGGUUUUCAUUCUGAAACCGUCUACGCAGCUACGCUCGUUGCUCGAAUUUUAUCUGUAGCCGAUAUUUUAGGUAGAGCUUCUUCGUUCGAGAAAUGCUUAUGGUUUAUGCUUUUCUGGAUAACUUUUGGGGAUAUUUAAUUAUUAUAAAGUGUGUGUGUUCACAUGCUUUUAGGUAAAUGUCAAAAGGUUCUAAUUCUGUUUCUAAUGAUGUUUGAAAAACAAACAAAAAGUAUUUUUAUUGUUUAUAUUUCGAGUGUUUGACCAUAUUAUAAUAGGGUGAACAAAAAAAUAAGGUGAACAAAAACAAAAGACCUUACAAUAUAACACAAAUCGUCAUAUGAAUCUCUGGUAACUAACAACUAUAGCAUUUCAUUUUAACCAAAAAAAAAACUAUAGCAUUUCAUUAUUGUGUUUAUACAUUAUUCACUUCUAUAUAAAUACACCCAAUGUAAUAAUUUUAUUUAUAGAAAUUUACUCACUAGACAUCCACGAACUAAUCAAAAUUCAAAAGGCCAACAAAAAGGGUUGCACCAAUCGAAAAUCGUAUUUCAACCAGAUAUUGGUUCUAUAUCAUAUCACCUUUGAAAAAAGAAAAGAAAAAACCAUAGUUCUAUCAAAAUCCAUCGAAUCCAUUAAAACUAGGUUCCACUAGUUAAGUAAUUGGAUUUUUUUCACUGAAAACUAGCAGAAGUACUGACCUAUACCGGGGGAGAACAACUUUUAUGGAAAAACAUUUAAAAAAAAAAAAAUCCUUUGCAUGUAUCAAAACAAGGAAGCUAUUGCCCAUUGUUUUACUACCCCUCUAUAAAUUAACUUAAUACUUUGCCAUUCACUUCAGUUAUAUCAAGAAACUUGAAACUGCAUAACAAAACAUUUCUUUCAUUUUCGAAAAACACUCUCAAAGGUUCUGAUUCCUUUUCUAACAUCUUGAUUCUCGACGAAGCUUAUUAACGGAAGUACAAGUUAUUCCAAUGGAUGUCUUCAUAUCGGAAGAGUAUGUCUACCGCCGGAGAAUGGAGAAAAAAGCUGCCGCCGUUGCCGAUAAAAAUGUGAGGCUAGGCUUUUGUACAAGUAAAGUACAGGAAAAGAGAAAAAGCCAUCCUCGGAUGUCUGAAUCUCGGCCGGAAAAGGAGUUUCAGGUUACCGGCGGUGGUGUUUAUGAGAGUUUUGUGUUCCAAUGCUUUUCUCCAUAAUAACCAAACCGUUCGCGUUUAGUGAUUCAAACGCAGACGCAGUUGCAUGUGCAUGGGCGGUUAUUAGUUGUAGCUCUUGUAUUGUAGUAACUCUUGGUUUAUUGCUACUAUAGUGAGUUUUUUUCCUAAUUAACAAUGUGUUGUUAGUCAUAAACUAAUACUAUUUGAUAAUCAUAAACAUUAAAUAUAAAUCAUGAAUCACAUUAGUUAUACAUUACAAAUUUACAACUAAGAUAACACAUUGUUUAUACAAAUCUCAACAAUUUCAGAUUUGAUACCAUAUUAACUUCAAAAUCAAAGAUGAUGAAGAACCAGAUUCAAGCUAAGAGUGAGAGAUGAAGAAGAUGAUGAAAUGAAAGUUUGUUAUUCUUCAUAAUUAACAUGUACAUGUGGGUUCAAUAUAUAUAGUUGUACAGUUAAGCAAAAGGAAACUUAACCAUUACAAACCGGUUUGUAAACCGAGUACUAUACUAAUAUUUACAACAACCAACAGUAUAACUUUCAAGGGUUGCGUAAUACAAAGGAAAGAGAGCGGCCUUCUUAAUUAGCCGUUUCAUGUGCACAUUGGUAAGCAUGAAGAUUUUAGAAAAAUGAAGUGUAGCAUAACUGUUUUUUUUAUUGUAUUGAUGCCAACAUUUAUUGCAUGAAGCUCUAAAAUAUCAGCCAGUUUAUCAUCAUCACCAGGAUUCUAACUCUGGUACUGGCUCCUCCUCUUUCCUCUGUGGCUGGUUCGUCUCUCCAUUCCCCCCCUCCCCCCCCCCCCCCAUUAAUUUUACCAUUGUUAUUUACCAGAAUCACUGUUUCGUGAAAUUUCAAGCACCGAGGGGUGCACCAAAUCGAUUCAUUCUUUGCGCCUUUUUGGUCAAACUUGUUAACUCAUUAAUUGUGUUGGUAUAAAGCUAUGAUUGAGAACUUAAGCAAUUAUGUUUUUCUUUAUAAGUUCCUUCUAACCAAUUGAUGAUUGAUGUGUGACACUUUAGGAGCUACGUGUUUUGGGUUCCUUGAACUCAGUGUUUUUCGUUUAUGAACUUCUCUGAGAAUAUUUUGAUCCAACUGAUCCUGAUCAGAGACCAGAUUCCUUGAGAGUUGAUGUACGGAUGAGUGAUCAUAACGUGAAUUGCGUUUAGACAUCUACUGUGAAAGUCACACCAGAACUGUUCACAUGACCAACCCUCAAAUUUUGGGGCAGUAAACUAUUUAAUAAAUUUGGAAGCUUAUAUCUAUUUUUCUUCAAAAUUUUUGGAGGCUAUAGAUCAAAUCACUGGCUUAUGCCCAGAUCCGACCCUAAUUAUUCAUCUAUAACUUUUCUUAUGCUCAAACCUUUUGUCGUAAACAGAGUUGUGAUUGGCUUAGCGAUUGUUCUUUCUGCUAACUUAAUUAAUCUCUUGUGUUUCGAUUAACCGUAUCUGUUUCUUUGAUUGCAGUCUUGCUGCUCUGUGCUGCUGCGGUGUGUUGGACUGCUUCUGAUAAUGCCCUUCACGGAUCUCUUGUUUUUGUCACUUACAGUCGCAGUUUAUACGUUAAAUCAACUUCAACACAUGCCUUAACUAUCUGUUUUUAUGUUCUGGCAUGCUUCAUUGUCUAUUAAUGAUGUACCUCUUUAUUUGACAGUUAACUAAUCUACAAACCAAAGGUCCUCUAAAAAGAUGAAGCGGUUCUAGCUAAGAAAUCUGUAGUUCUAUUUUGUCUCCAAGGAAUAUAUAUAGCAUAUUUUGAAAUCUCGAAAUCUUCUUUUCAACUCUUGUAUCACCUUCAACUCUGUCAAAAAAAUUCAGUCAUGCCUGAAGUUCAACUAGCAUUGAUUUCUUAUCUCAGUAAGCUGUGUUUGUCUUGUAUUAUCUUAGCCACAUCCAAUAAAAUCGAUGUGGAGGUUUAAGAAUCAUCUACCAAACAUAUAUUAUUUAAGCAUAUAGCAUGAGAUGUUGCUACUGGUAUUUGCAUCAAACCAGUAGUUGGAUCAUAUGGUUUGAUAUAUGUACCUCUUUAUUUAGAUGAAUACCACUUUCAAAAUUAUUGUCAUGUAACUUGUGUUUACAAGUAAACAAGAAAAAACAUAAACCAUAAGCUAUUGUUUUCCCAAUUUAAUUAGUUGUCCAGCCCAAUAGUAAAACAAAUUGAUAUAAAACAAAUAGUUUGAGGCCCAAGUCCAAUAUAAACGUGACAGCACGAUUAAAUGACACGUGAGACGUGACUGUACUUAUUAAUACUCCCUCCGUUUUUUAUUAUAAGUCGUUUUGAAGCUAUGCACAUAGAUUAAGAAAAUCAUUAAUUUCUUAUAUUUUCGAAACAAAAACAUCAUUAAUUAUUUACCUAACCACAAUUUAACCAAUAGAAAAAUAGAAGAUAUAUUAUCAUUGGUCAGACAACAUUAAUUACUAAUAAAUGUUACAUAAAAAACCGAAAACGACAUAUAAUUUGGAACAAAAAAGUUUCUCUAAAACGACUUAUAUUAAAAAACAGAGGGAGUAAUUGAAAAAGACAGCUUGGACAAAAAAAAGUCCGUGAAACUGAAAACAUCUUUUUAAGUUUUGUUUUGCAAUAAUCUCAACUGUCUCAAAAAAAAAAAAAAAAAAUCUCUCUGAUUCGAAAGAGAUAUGAGCUACGAGAAAGUUCCACCGGAAUCGUAUCCUCCUCCUCCAGGAUACCAAUCUCAUUAUCCGCCUCCUGGUUAUCCAUCGGCGCCGCCGCCUCCGGGAUAUCCUCCGCCGCAUCACGAAGGAUAUCCACCGCCUCAGCCUCACGGGUAUCCACCGUACCCGCCACCGCGUCCUUACGAAGGAGGUUAUCAAGGCUACUUCGCCGGUAACUACCCUCCUCCUCAUCCUCCUCCUCCGCCGCAACAGUGCAACCACUACCAGCACGAUCACCACCAUUACCAGGAUUCAAACUCUGAUGGCUCCUCUUUCCUCCGUGGCUGUCUUGCUGCUCUGUGCUGUUGCUGUCUGUUGGAGGAAUGCUUCUGAGAAUGGCCUUUCCUUCUCCCCGGAUCAUCUCUUGUUACUAUCGUCAUUUACAGUCACAUUAUAUAUGUUAAAUCAAAUCCAAUACAUGCCAUAACUUCUCUGUCUAUGUACUGUGAAUGUUUCCAUUGUCUGUUAAUGCUGUACCUCUUUGUUUGGGAGUGGACUAAAUCCACAACAUGGAUCAGAAGAAUCCUAUGUAUGUUCCUUGUAAUUUGUCUGAAUUAUUUGAAAAAUAUAUACUCAGUUUGAUA